This 253-nucleotide ribosomal RNA is filed under the name uncultured bacterium. RNAcentral describes it as "partial 16S ribosomal RNA". It matches the Rfam family "Bacterial small subunit ribosomal RNA", at positions 524 to 776 of the family's 1533-position model. The record is from RNAcentral.
UACGUAGGGCGCAAGCGUUGUCCGGAAUUAUUGGGCGUAAAGAGCUCGUAGGCGGCCUGUUACGUCUGCUGUGAAAUCCCGGGGCUUAACCCCGGGCGUGCAGUGGAUACGGGCAGGCUGGAGGCAGGCAGGGGAGAACGGAAUUCCCGGUGUAGCGGUGAAAUGCGCAGAUAUCAGGAGGAACACCAAUGGCGAAGGCAGCGCGCUGGGACGGUACUGACACUGAGACGCGAAAGCGUGGGGAGCAAACAGG